GACGAACGCUGGCGGCGUGCUUAACACAUGCAAGUCGAACGGAAAGGCCCUGCUUUUGUGGGGUGCUCGAGUGGCGAACGGGUGAGUAACACGUGAGUAACCUGCCCUUGACUUUGGGAUAACUUCAGGAAACUGGGGCUAAUACCGGAUAGGAGCUCCUGCUGCAUGGUGGGGGUUGGAAAGUUUCGGCGGUUGGGGAUGGACUCGCGGCUUAUCAGCUUGUUGGUGGGGUAGUGGCUUACCAAGGCUUUGACGGGUAGCCGGCCUGAGAGGGUGACCGGGCACAUUGGGACUAAGGGACGGCGCAGACGCCUACGGGAGGCAACGGGGGGAAAUAUGACACAAUGGGCGGGAGCCUGAUGCGGCAGCGCCGCGUGCGGAAUGACGGCCUUCGGGUUGUAAACCGCUUUCGCCUGUUACGAAGCGUGAGUGACGGUAAUGGGUAAAGAAGCACCGGCUAACUACGUG
RNAcentral lists this ribosomal RNA (468 nucleotides) under uncultured bacterium. Its description in RNAcentral is "partial 16S ribosomal RNA". It matches the Rfam family "Bacterial small subunit ribosomal RNA", at positions 28 to 507 of the family's 1533-position model. The record is from RNAcentral.